AACGCUAGCUACAGGCUUAACGCAUGCAAGUCGAGGGGCAGCGCAGUGCAGCAAUGCAUGGGCGGCGACCGGCGCACGGGUGCGUAACGCGUAUCCAACCUUCCCGUUACUCAUGGAUAGCCUUCCGAAAGGGAGAUUAAUACAUGAUGGUGUUGAAAUUCCGCAUGUUAUUUCAACUAAAGAUUUAUCGGUAACGGAUGGGGAUGCGUGACAUUAGAUAGAUGGCGGGGUAACGGCCCACCAUGUCUACGAUGUCUAGGGGUUCUGAGAGGAAGGUCCCCCACACUGGAACUGAGACACGGUCCAGACUCCUACGGGAGGCAGCAGUGAGGAAUAUUGGUCAAUGGCCGGAAGGCUGAACCAGCCAAGUAGCGUGAAGGAUGAAGGUUCUAUGGAUUGUAAACUUCUUUUAUGAGGGAAUAAAACCUCCCACGUGUGGGAGCUUGUAUGUACCUUAUGAAUAAGCAUCGGCUAACUCCGUGCCAGCAGCCGCGGUAAUACGGAGGAUGCGAGCGUUAUCCGGAUUUAUUGGGUUUAAAGGGAGCGUAGACGGGAGAUUAAGUCAGCUGUGAAAGUUUGAGGCCCAACCUUAAAAUUGCAGUUGAUACUGGUUUCCUUGAGUGCGGUUGAGGUGUAUGGAAUUCGUGGUGUAGCGGUGAAAUGCUUAGAUAUCACGAAGAACUCCGAUUG
Molecule: ribosomal RNA, 690 nt
Filed under: uncultured Bacteroidales bacterium
Lineage: Bacteria; Pseudomonadati; Bacteroidota; Bacteroidia; Bacteroidales
Description: bacterial SSU rRNA
Rfam family: Bacterial small subunit ribosomal RNA
Source: RNAcentral